Molecule: ribosomal RNA, 1460 nt
Filed under: metagenome
Description: bacterial SSU rRNA
Rfam family: Bacterial small subunit ribosomal RNA
Source: RNAcentral
AGAGUUUGGUCCUGGCUCAGGAUGAACGCUGGCGGCGUGCCUAAUACAUGCAAGUCGAACGGAGUUGUUGUAGCAAUACGGCAACUCAGUGGCGAACGGGUGAGUAACGCGUUGGUGACCUGCCCCGAAGAGGGGGAUAACAGUCCGAAAGGAUUGCUAAUACCCCAUGUGGUCAUCGGUUUUAGAAUCUGGUGACUAAAGUCGUAAGACACUUUGGGAGGGACCUGCGUCCCAUCAGCUAGUUGGUAAGGUAACGGCCUACCAAGGCUAUGACGGGUAGGGGACCUGAGAGGGUGACCCCCCACAAUGGCACUGAAACACGGGCCAUACACCUACGGGUGGCAGCAGUAGGAAUAUUGCUUAAUGUGCGAAAGCGCGAAGCAGCAACGCCGCGUGAGCGAUGAAGGCCUUCGGGUCGUAAAGCUCUUUUUCGAGGGAUGAGGAAGGACAGUACCUCGAGAAUAAGCCUCGGCUAACUACGUGCCAGCAGCCGCGGUAACACGUAGGAGGCGAGCGUUAUCCGGAUUUACUGGGCGUAAAGCGCGUGUAGGCGGUUCGGUUAGUUGGAUGUGAAAGCUCCUGGCCUAACUGGGAGAGGUCGUUCAAUACUGCCGAACUUGAGAGUGGUAGAGGAAGGUGGAAUUCCGCGUGUAGUGGUGAAAUGCGUAGAUAUGCGGAGGAACACCAGUGGCGAAAGCGGCCUUCUGGACCACUUCUGACGCUCAGACGCGAAAGCUAGGGGAGCAAACGGGAUUAGAGACCCCGGUAGUCCUAGCUGUAAACGAUGUGAACUUGGCGUUGGUGGGUUCAAAUCCAUCAGUGCCGUAGCUAACGCGAUAAGUUCACCGCCUGGGGACUACGGCCGCAAGGUUAAAACUCAAAGGAAUUGACGGGUCCCCGCACAAGCAGCGGAGCGUGUGGUUUAAUUCGAUUUACACGAAGAACCUUACCAGGGUUUGACAUGCAAGUAGUAGGAAAGGGAAACCGGACCGACCCUUCGGGGAGCUUGCACAGGUGCUGCAUGGCUGUCGUCAGCUCGUGUCGUGAGAUGUUCGGUUAAGUCCGCUAACGAGCGCAACCCUCGUCACGUGUUGCAAGUGUCACGUGGGACUGCCGGUCUUAAACCGGAGGAAGGUGAGGAUGACGUCAAGUCAGCAUGGCCUUUAUAUCCUGGGCCACACACACGCUACAAUGGUCAGCGCAAUAGGUUGCCAAACCGCGAGGUGGAGCCAAUCCUUAAUGUUGGCCUCAGUUCAGAUUGCAGGCUGCAACUCGCCUGCAUGAAGUCGGAGUUGCUAGUAACCGCAGGUCAGCUAUACUGCGGUGAAUACGUUCCCGGGGAUUGUACACACCGCCCGUCACGUCAUGGGAGCUGGUAACACCUGAAGCCGGUAUCCUAACCGCAAGGAAGGAGCCGUCGAGGGUGGGAUCGGUGACUGGGACGAAGUCGUAACAAGGUA